Molecule: small nuclear RNA, 18 nt
Filed under: Arabidopsis thaliana (thale cress)
Lineage: Eukaryota; Viridiplantae; Streptophyta; Magnoliopsida; Brassicales; Brassicaceae
Description: snRNA_03098
Source: RNAcentral
AUGGGAUAGUAUUGGGUC